GCUGUUUGAUUCAUGUCCGGAGGAAGUUGGGGGGCCCGAUUCUCGGCCUUCAAAACUUCCUUCGCGCGUGGAGGGUGGCAAGGUGCGCGUCUCGGGGAGGCCAGGUGGGUCCUCCCUCUCCAGCCACGGCCGGGCGAGCGGAAGCCGGUUCCUCACGCCGCAGGUUUCGGCGGGGCUCCUCGCCCAGGGAUGACAGCCCGCAGCCCGGUGCUGAGGAAGGAGAAGCUGCGGCUGGGACCCCGGAGGGAGCCCGGGCGGCAGCAGCGGCUUCCAGGGCGCUCUGCCCAGCGCUGCCUUCCUGGGAAACAGUCCAGACUCUCAGGACCAGAAGCCCGAGCAAAUCGGAAAGGAGCUCCGAGGAGGGGCCAAGGAGUCAUGAUCUAAUUAGUCAGCUUUCGGAUAGAGGUGGAAAACUGACCCUUGGGAACUAAGAAAAACAAAUCAAGAAAGAGCAACUGCUCCGUGAAGACUGCAUUGCAACAUUCUAGAAUUACAAGUCUGAGUGGUGGACCAGCAGCACAUUAGAAUACAGCCUUGGAGUUUAGCUAAAUGUUUUUUUCUAGAUUCCUGCAGGUAGAGAUGGCAGAGUUUGAAUAUUCUGGGUGGAAAAUCAAACCACACAACUCGGUUUCUGUUUCCAGAUCGCUCAUCCUUCGGUUCAUCAUCUGUAAAGUGAAGGAAGAUAUUGGCUUCCCCGGUGAGAACCGGAGCUGCGGUUCCUCCUCAGUCACGUUGGGGAACAGCACGUCCCCAUGGGUGCCCCUUUAGAGUAAAAAGGAGAUUUCCUUCUCAGGGGUCUGCCGAUGCUCACUGUCAUCUCCCUAGAUACCGCUGCUCUAUUGCACUCUCUUCUGACAGUAAAAUUCACAGUGUGAGGCAUCCUAAGAGUGUGGCACUGAGGAGUUACCACCCUCACGCUACUCUACUCUCAGCCUCCAGCAAUUCAUCACAAUUACCCCUGAAGUGUUCCUCCUGGUUUAUCUCCAGCGGCUUCUGCUCUGGCCAUGGCUGACCUCCAACUACAGGAAGUGACUGUGAUGAGGCCCAGCUGUCAUGCUUUGGAAUCCAUCACGGUGUGUGCCGAGGUCGCGCCUCCCUCCUCCCGGCCAGUAAUGGAGUGUGGCAGGCUGGUAACAAAGGCCUGCUCUUAGGAGAUGUGGGAGCUCCCUGAUGGCCAACUUUCAUUCAAGGACUGCCUGCAGAAAGAGUAUUCCGUGGGCCACACAGUGACUCAGAGAUCCAGCCAGUCUUCACUUGGCAGCUCUGUCAUCUCAACGUGUGGCUUCCAUCACCACAGCUGGAAAACCAAAAGCCAGAGAUUCAGCUUCAAGACCAUUUUCUCAUGUUCUAAAAGUUCAAAAGCAAGCACUCAGGAGAGAGUUGGCUAUGCGUUCCUGCCUUGGGUUUUCUAAGACUAACCACCUGGUGAAUUCCGCAAUCCUGUUAAAUGAUGCUCCUGAACCGAGGAGGACACAGGCAAGCCAAAGGCAGAAUGACUGUCUCCAUGAGUGAUGAGAGAGCUGCAGACCUGAUAGGCAGAUAGAGCAUUAUUAAUAGACCAGGGGUUGGUGCUGGCUAUCACCUGAGCUGCCCAGGCUCUUCUUGUGUGGCAUAAGGGACUUUCUGCCAUCAUUUGGAUUUGGAACGGUGGACGAACAUCUCCAGUAACACUGUCCAGACAAUAUAUAAAGUUGAAAAUUUACCAAAUACAGCAUAUUUAAAGGAGCUUUAUCUUUCAAAACAAUAUGCAUACAUUUUAAAGGCAAAUAAAUGAAUAUAAUACCAGUAAUUAUUGUUGAAUUAUCCUCUGUUUACUUGAGAUGGAAAUAAA
This 1831-nucleotide long non-coding RNA is filed under the name Equus asinus (donkey). RNAcentral's name for it is "lncRNA (ENSEASG00005034051.1)". Lineage: Eukaryota; Metazoa; Chordata; Mammalia; Perissodactyla; Equidae. The record is from RNAcentral.